UUCAAUGGUGGGCCGGGCGGGGGCAUCAAAAGAUGCGCCGGUGUCAGUGAGGCCGGUAAGGCUAACCCCGUCCGGUUCCACCACCCAU
This is a non-coding RNA of Brenneria sp. EniD312, 88 nucleotides long. The record is from Rfam. NCBI's taxonomy places the organism in Bacteria, Pseudomonadati, Pseudomonadota, Gammaproteobacteria, Enterobacterales, Pectobacteriaceae.